Monodelphis domestica (gray short-tailed opossum) is the source of this 46-nucleotide regulatory RNA element. It matches the Rfam family "Histone 3' UTR stem-loop". Rfam says of the family: The mRNAs of metazoan histone genes lack a poly-A tail. 3' end processing occurs at a site between a highly conserved stem-loop (modelled by this family) and a purine rich region around 20 nts downstream (the histone downstream element, or HDE). Lineage: Eukaryota; Metazoa; Chordata; Mammalia; Didelphimorphia; Didelphidae. The record is from Rfam.
CCAAGGGCUCUUUUAAGAGCCACCCACACUUUCAAAGAAAAGAGCU